CCUACGGGUGGCAGCAGUGGGGAAUAUUGGGCAAUGGACGAAACUCUGACCCAGCAACGCCGCGUGAAUGAUGAAGGCCUUCGGAUUGUAAAGUUCUUUUUUAAGGGAAGAAGAAAGUGACGGUACCUUAGGAAUAAGCAUCGGCUAACGAAGUGCCAGCAGCCGCGGUAAUACGAAGGAGGCAAGCGUUAUCCGGAUUGACUGGGCGUAAGGGGUGAGUAGGUGGUUUGAUAAGUUGGUGGCGUAACUCAGCGGCUCAACCUCGGCACUAAUUCCAAAACUGUCAGACUUGAGUGCAGGAGAGGCAACUGGAAUGCCUGGUGUAGCGGUGGAAUGCGUAGAUAUUAGGAAGAACACCAGUGGCGAAGGCGGGUUGCUGGACUGUAACUGACACUGAGGCACGAAAGCGUGGGGAGCAAACAGGAUUAGAUACCCUAGUAGUC
This 443-nucleotide ribosomal RNA is filed under the name uncultured bacterium. RNAcentral describes it as "partial 16S ribosomal RNA". It matches the Rfam family "Bacterial small subunit ribosomal RNA", at positions 338 to 795 of the family's 1533-position model. The record is from RNAcentral.